AUCCUUGAAGAUCCCUUCCUGUAAAUUUGAUUUGACUUUUUUUUUAAGGUAUGUAUAAUGCAAAUUUAUGUAAAUUUCCAUAAAAAUAAAUAAAAUGGACUUUAUUUCUCUUAAUGCAUUUUAGAUAUCAAUGGACAUGCUUUAUUUUAUUUAGUAUGUUGUGCUAAAUACAAAUAAAACGUAUAUCUGACUAAAAUGCGUUACUUCCUUCUUUUUUUUCUCUUUUUUUUUUUUUUUUUUUUUUUUUUUAGAUGGUGCCUGACACACCCAUUUCCUUUUAGAUGGUGACUAAUGCACUAUUCUUUCACCUUUUUUUUUUUUUUUUUUUUUUACUUAACAGUAGCUGGCACUUUUUUUUAGUUGGCACUUUCUUUUUGUACAUAAUCAUAUUUUACCAGUGCACCAUUUAGGGUAGCUGGCACUUUCUUUUAGUUGGCACUUUCUUUUUGUGCAUAAUCAUAUUUUCCCAAUGCACCAUUUUACUUAACAGUAGCUGUAGCUGGCACUUCUUUUAGUUGGCACUUUCUUUUUGUAUAUAAUCAUAUUUUCCCAGUGCACCAUUUUACUUAACAAUAGCUAGCACUUUCUUUUAGUUGGCACUUUCUUUUUGUACACAAUCAUAUUUUCCCAAUGCACCAUCCCAUCACCUCUCAUUUUGGUUUUUCUUUUCCAGGCACGGGUGGUCGUUUGCACAGUCAC
RNAcentral lists this long non-coding RNA (699 nucleotides) under Malus domestica (apple). RNAcentral's name for it is "long non-coding RNA (MDOM_LNC000195)". The record is from RNAcentral. Lineage: Eukaryota; Viridiplantae; Streptophyta; Magnoliopsida; Rosales; Rosaceae.